UCCAGACUCCUACGGGAGGCAGCAGUGAGGAAUAUUGGUCAAUGGGCGCGAGCCUGAACCAGCCAAGUCGCGUGAGGGAAGACGGUCCUAUGGAUUGUAAACCUCUUUUGUCGGGGAGCAAAAGACGCCACGUGUGGCGUUCCGAGAGUACCCGAAGAAAAAGCAUCGGCUAACUCCGUGCCAGCAGCCGCGGUAAUACGGAGGAUGCGAGCGUUAUCCGGAUUUAUUGGGUUUAAAGGGUGCGCAGGCGGAAGAUCAAGUCAGGGUUAAAAUGGAGGGGCUCAACCUCUUCGAGCCGUUGAAACUGGUUUUCUUGAGUGAGCGAGAAGUAUGCGGAAUGCGUGGUGUAGCGGUGAAAUGCAUAGAUAUCACGCAGAACUCCGAUUGCGAAGGCAUCUCACGAAUCCGCGAUUGACGCUGAUGCACGAAAGCGUGGGUAUCAAACAGGAUUAGAUACCCUAGUAAA
RNAcentral lists this ribosomal RNA (466 nucleotides) under uncultured bacterium. Its description in RNAcentral is "bacterial SSU rRNA". It matches the Rfam family "Bacterial small subunit ribosomal RNA", at positions 330 to 794 of the family's 1533-position model. The record is from RNAcentral.